Molecule: ribosomal RNA, 460 nt
Filed under: uncultured bacterium
Lineage: Bacteria
Description: partial 16S ribosomal RNA
Rfam family: Bacterial small subunit ribosomal RNA
Source: RNAcentral
CCUACGGGAGGCAGCAGUGAGGAAUAUUGGUCAAUGGGCGCGAGCCUGAACCAGCCAAGUCGCGUGAGGGAAGACGGCCCUACGGGUUGUAAACCUCUUUUGUCGGGGAGCAAAGCGAGUCACGUGUGACUCAUUGAGAGUACCCGAAGAAAAAGCAUCGGCUAACUCCGUGCCAGCAGCCGCGGUAAUACGGAGGAUGCGAGCGUUAUCCGGAUUUAUUGGGUUUAAAGGGUGCGCAGGCGGAGGUGCAAGUCAGCGGUCAAAUUGCGGGGCUCAACCGUAAAAUUGCAAUUGAUACUGGCAGUCUUGAGUACAGUUGAGGUAGGCGGAAUUCGUGGUGUAGCGGUGAAAUGCUUAGAUAUCACGAAGAACCCCGAUUGCGAAGGCAGCUUACUAAACUGUGACUGACAUUGAUGCUCGAAAGUGUGGGUAUCAAACAGGAUUAGAUACCCUGGUAGUC